UGGGGAAUAUUGCACAAUGGGCGAAAGCCUGAUGCAGCGACGCCGCGUGAGGGAUGACGGCCUUCGGGUUGUAAACCUCUUUCAGUAGGGACGAAGCGCAAGUGACGGUACCUGCAGAAGAAGCACCGGCUAACUACGUGCCAGCAGCCGCGGUAAUACGUAGGGUGCGAGCGUUGUCCGGAAUUACUGGGCGUAAAGAGCUCGUAGGCGGUUUGUCACGUCGUCUGUGCAAUCCUAGGGCUUAACCCUGGACGUGCAGGCGAUACGGGCUGACUUGAGUACUACAGGGGAGACUGGAAUUUCUGGUGUAGCGGUGGAAUGCACAGAUAUCAGGAAGAACACCGAUGGCGAAGGCAGGUCUCUGGGUAGUAACUGACGCUGAGGAGCGAAAGCAUGGGUAGCGAACAGG
Molecule: ribosomal RNA, 409 nt
Filed under: bacterium
Lineage: Bacteria
Description: partial 16S ribosomal RNA
Rfam family: Bacterial small subunit ribosomal RNA
Source: RNAcentral